GACGAACGCUGGCGGCGUGCUUAACACAUGCAAGUCGAACGGAAAGGCCCUGCUUUUGUGGGGUGCUCGAGUGGCGAACGGGUGAGUAACACGUGAGUAACCUGCCCUUGACUUUGGGAUAACUUCAGGAAACUGGGGCUAAUACCGGAUAGGAGCUCCUGCUGAAUGGUGGGGGUUGGAAAGUUUCGGCGGUUGGGGAUGGACUCGCGGCUUAUCAGCUUGUUGGUGGGGUAGUGGCUUACCAAGGCUUAGACGGGUAGCCGGCCUGAGAGGGUGACCGGCCACAUUGCGACUGAGAUACGGCACAGACUCAUACGCGAGGCAAAGGUGGAGAGUAUUGUACAGUGGGCGGAAGCCUGAUGCAAUGACGCCGCGUGGGGUAAGACAGCAUGUGUGUUGUAAACCGCUGCCGUCUGAGACGAAGCGAGAGUGACGGUAAUUGGUAAAGAAGCACCGGCUAACUACGUG
RNAcentral lists this ribosomal RNA (468 nucleotides) under uncultured bacterium. RNAcentral's name for it is "partial 16S ribosomal RNA". It matches the Rfam family "Bacterial small subunit ribosomal RNA", at positions 28 to 507 of the family's 1533-position model. The record is from RNAcentral.